Molecule: ribosomal RNA, 449 nt
Filed under: uncultured bacterium
Lineage: Bacteria
Description: bacterial SSU rRNA
Rfam family: Bacterial small subunit ribosomal RNA
Source: RNAcentral
ACUCCUACGGGAGGCAGCAGUGGGGAAUCUUGGACAAUGGGCGCAAGCCUGAUCCAGCCAUGCCGCGUGAGUGAUGAAGGCCCUAGGGUCGUAAAGCUCUUUCGCCUGUGAAGAUAAUGACGGUAGCAGGUAAAGAAACCCCGGCUAACUCCGUGCCAGCAGCCGCGGUAAUACGGAGGGGGUUAGCGUUGUUCGGAAUUACUGGGGCGUAAAGCGCGCGUAGGCUGACUAUUAAGUCAGAGGUGAAAUCCCGGGGCUCAACCCCGGAACUGCCUUUGAUACUGGUAGUCUUGAGUUCGAGAGAGGUAAGUGGAAUUCCGAGUGUAGAGGUGAAAUUCGUAGAUAUUCGGAGGAACACCAGUGGCGAAGGCGGCUUACUGGCUCGAUACUGACGCUGAGGUGCGAAAGUGUGGGGAGCAAACAGGAUUAGAUACCCUGGUAGGAUAGCG